This 710-nucleotide long non-coding RNA is filed under the name Brassica rapa (field mustard). RNAcentral describes it as "long non-coding RNA (BRAP_LNC007012)". The record is from RNAcentral. Lineage: Eukaryota; Viridiplantae; Streptophyta; Magnoliopsida; Brassicales; Brassicaceae.
UUACAGCUCCUUUUUAUAAAUAAUAAGCUUAGUAGAGACAAAACUGAAAUUUAAUUUGAAAUUACGUGUUAGAACUACAAAACAAUAGUUGGGAAAAAAGAACUACAAAACAAUAUUAUUUGUAAACACCAGAAUAAAAUCUUAAAAUGACAUUUUUAGAAAACGAAUAGAAUUUUGAUUAAAAAUAUGUGUGUUUUAUUAGUUAAAUAGCAUAUAAUAAAAAGAGUUAUUCUUGGGUUCACCUCCUAAACCAAUCAGAUUUAGUUAUUUCAAAUCCGAUAUCUUUUAAAAAAAGAAACAAAAUAUUGUCAAAUUAUAUUACGUUUUUAAAAUUAAAAAAAUAUAAAUAAAUAAAAAUAAUAGUAGUUGCAAAAAAAAAGUUUUAAAAAAAAAAUUAAUACGAUAAACAAACACUAAACUCUAAAUCUAAACCCUAAACCUUUUGGUAAACCCUAAACCCUUUGAUAAAUUUUAAAUUCUUGAAUUUAAAAAAAAAUAUUUUUAAUACAAUCAACAAAACACUAAACCCUAAAUCCUAAUCCUAAACCCUAAACCCUUGGGUAAACCUUAAACCCUUGGGUAAACCCUAAACCCUUGGAUAAAUCCGAAACUCUUGGAUCAAAUCUUAAACUUUAAGAUUUAUGAUUUAUUCAAUAGUUUAGGGUUUACCUAAAGGUUUAGGGUUUAGGGUUUAAUAAUUGUUGGCAGCG